This is a long non-coding RNA of Hibiscus syriacus, 101 nucleotides long. RefSeq lists it as uncharacterized. The record is from RefSeq and is a predicted model, not a curated record. Lineage: Eukaryota; Viridiplantae; Streptophyta; Magnoliopsida; Malvales; Malvaceae. The transcript has 3 exons.
GUUUUCAAACACAGUAAGUAGUUGAAACAAGGUAUGUGAUCAGAUUCUAAAGAGAAAACAGCUUAGAUUGUAUCAGAUUGGUUUUGUCGUUCAUCAAUAUU